UUCCUACGGGACGCAGCAGUGGGGAGUAUUGGGCAAUGGGCGCAAGCCUGACCCAGCGACGCCGCGUGAGGGAAGACGGUCUUCGGAUUGUAAACCUCUUUCAGCAGGGAAGACAAAAGGACGGUACCUGCAGAAGAAGCCACGGCUAACUACGUGCCAGCAGCCGCGGUAAUACGUAGGUGGCAAGCGUUAUCCGGAAUUACUGGGUGUAAAGGGUGUGUAGGCAGGUUUGCAAGUCAGAUGUGAAAAUUAUGGGCUCAACCCAUAACCUGCGUCUGAAACUACAGAUCUUGA
Molecule: ribosomal RNA, 294 nt
Filed under: uncultured bacterium
Lineage: Bacteria
Description: partial 16S ribosomal RNA
Rfam family: Bacterial small subunit ribosomal RNA
Source: RNAcentral